Hanseniaspora opuntiae is the source of this 1663-nucleotide non-coding RNA. Lineage: Eukaryota; Fungi; Ascomycota; Saccharomycetes; Saccharomycodales; Saccharomycodaceae. The record is from Rfam.
GGAAGAUCUUGUAAGAGAUUAAUAAGAGCAUGUUAAAUACAACAGUACCUUUUGCAUAAUGGGCUAAUAAGUUAGUAAGUUAUUGAGCUAAUAAUCUACUAGACCCGAAAUAUUGUGAUCUAAUCUAUUACAAUUAUCAAAUGAAUGAACCCAAGUAUGUUGCAAUAUGCUGGGAUGAUAAUAGAUUUGUAGAGAAAGUUAAAUCUAACAAUGAGAUAGCUGGUUUCCAUCGAAAUAAAUAUUAGUUUAGCAAUCGAUAAAGUAUAAUGUGUAGAGAAUAUUCUUACUCUAAGAGUAGGAGUAUAACCUUCAAAGCAUUCGAUUAGUUAGUUUGGUUGCGAUAAGGUGAUUAAACAAGACGGUAAUAAACGAUACUCUUUGAUAAUGACUAAAAGUUAUAACUAAUAAGUAAAACAUCUUAUCAUGGCUCGUGGGUUUAGUAAUAAUCAACGGAUUAAUAAGUAAGUAACAAUUUUACCAUGAGAUUACUGUGGAUGGAAUUAUUAACUAGAUUAAGUUAUACUCAGAAUUAAGAGAUACUAUUUAGUAUGGUAGAUGGAAUUAAGAAUGUUAGCAUGAGUAACGAAAUAAAAGUAUAAUCUAAUAAGAAAGUUAACUGAGAUAAUACGGUAAUUAAUCAUCUAAAUAGGAUGAAAUAAUUAAUAUGAGACCAUUAUAAGUCAAUAAUCAUAUCAGUAACCGUGACACAGGUAACUCAACUUCUUUAGCCAGUAAGGCUUAGAUUAGCUAGUAAACUUUAAGAAAGGAAUUCGGCAAAUUAGUAGAACAACUGUUUGUCAAAAACACAGUUCAUUGCUAAAUUAAUUAUAGAUGGUAUAAUGAAUGAAUUCUGUCCAGUGAUUAUCUUCGGAUAGUUAAACGACGGUUUUAUCUUGAGAACUCUAAGGUAGCGAAAUACCUAGAUUUAUAAUUGAAAUCGUGCAUGAAUGGAGAAAUGAUUCUACAACUGUCUCUCUUAAAGGCUAGGUGAAAUUGGAAUAUAGGUGAAAAUACCUAAUAGGAUCUAUGGGACACGAAGACCCUAGCAGUUUUACUUAAAAUGAUUAAAUAUAUUACUAAUCAUGGAAAGUUUGAGUGGGGCGCUUUUUUCAUAAAUAAUAACUGAAAAGUUCAAAGUUUAGUUACUAGGAUAAAUCCUUAUACUAAAUUAAUUAUCUACCCAAUAAGGAGGUAAUUACUCACGUAAGAAUUAGUGAACAUUAAUAUAAUCUAUAUUAAGACAACAAUUAAAAAUUACGCUAGGGAUAACAGGGUAAUGCAAUUCUAGAGUAGUUAUCGAAAAUUGAUCUUACCACCUCGAUGUUGACUAAUCUUAGCUCAAUAGUUGAAUUAGCUAUUAAGAGUUCUACUGUUCGUAGAUUAAAAAGGUACUUGAGUUGAGUUCAAUACGGCGUGAGCCAGUAUGUCUGAUAUCUGUAGAUCCUAAGGUAGUAAGGAUAGAAGUAGUUUGUACGAAAGGAAUACUACUAAGUUAUCAAUGGUCCAGGCUAAAUAGCUAUAUAAUUAAGAACUGAUUAAAUAUGAAGUUGUUAAAUUUAAUCCAAAUCUACCAAUAAAUAUAGGUUUAACUACCUAUUAGCAUUAAUAGUAUAAUGGCAAUACAGUUACCUUGUAAGUAACAAUUGGGAGUUCGAUUCUCUCU